GAUGAACGCUAGCUACAGGCUUAACACAUGCAAGUCGAGGGGCAGCGGAGGGCGUAGCAAUACGCCUGUCGGCGACCGGCGCACUGGUGAGUAACACGUAUGCGACCUGCCCCCUACAGGGGUAUAACCCGUAGAAAUGCGGACUAAUCCCCCAUAGUCCUGGGUGCUGCAUGGCAUUCAGGGGAAAGGUCAGCCGGUAGGGGAUGGGCAUGCGGCGUAUUAGCUAGUUGGCGGGGUAACGGCCCACCAAGGCGACGAUCAGUAGGGGUUCUGAGAGGAAGGUCCCCCACAUUGGAACUGAGACACGGUCCAAAACUCCUACGGGAGGCAGCAGUGAGGAAUAUUGGUCAAUGGACGAGAGUCUGAACCAGCCAAGUAGCGUGCAGGAUGACGGCCCUAUGGGUUGUAAACUGCUUUUAUAAGGGAAUAAAGUGAGUCUCGUGAGACUUUUUGCAUGUACCUUAUGAAUAAGGACCGGCUAAUUCCGUG
This 489-nucleotide ribosomal RNA is filed under the name uncultured bacterium. RNAcentral's name for it is "bacterial SSU rRNA". It matches the Rfam family "Bacterial small subunit ribosomal RNA", at positions 28 to 507 of the family's 1533-position model. The record is from RNAcentral.